AACUGGAGGCACGUGCAUGAGUGCCUCACACUGUUGGGUUGUUUUAUCAGUAGUGGAUGAGAAACAGUCACACACUGUCAAGAGCUUCUUCAACACUGAGACACAGAAGAAUUUUUGUUUUACGGGUAACGCUGGGAGGGAUCAAGGCAUUGUCAACUGACAUAUUAUGUGAGAAAGCAAAUUCUGCAUACUACAUUUUCUAAGAAAAAAAAAAAAAAGAAAGAACGAAGCAUUAAGCUGAGCACUGGAGUUUUCGUUCAAAAAGAAAUAAAGCUUAAGCAGCCUGACUCUUUUCAACCGAUGUACCACCAAAGUUGCCCACCAAAGGUUACCUGAAAAUACAUUUCUACCUUUCAAUGUGCCUUUAACCAAACAUCAAGACUAAAAGGACCUGAAGUGAAGAUGAGCUGAUCCCCUCCAUAACCACUUCACCGUCGCCCUGUUUUGCCAGAAGGUCUGCAGAUGAAUGGCCACUGGCGGAUAAGAAUGCUGUCAGCCGCAUCUGGAGCUGAAGUAUGAUGUUUAAAAUGUGCACAGUUUGAACAGAGCAUACAUCCUAGUUAAAACAGGACCUUCAGCUUCCUGAAGUUUAUCAAAAUAAAUCUGAUUUGAAAGUUAUUGCACAAUAAAUACUAGUACAGAAAGCAAAACAGGCCCUACUCCAUAUAUUAUGACACGCAUUUAAAAGUGAAGUCCAGACCAGGAAGAAAUAGUGUAAGCAGGGAUUUUACAAGAGGUUUGGUUUGAUUCAGGCAAUGAUUCACAAGUACAGGUACGCUAUGCAUCUGUAGAUGUUAAAUCCUUCUUAUUGAACCCCCUUUCUUUUCUAACUCAUAGUGCUUAAGUCCCACAACAGCUCUGUUGCGUACAGAUUAUUAUUCCCUUAGGUUGUUCAUAGGCAUCCUUUAUCUUACCAUCUAAUUACUAACAAAAAUAGAGAAAAUACAGUGGAUUACCGAAUUCAGCCUCUAGAGACAGUCAGUACUACAAGGGGGGGAGGCACAAUUUCAUUAGAUACUGAGAGCGGAUUGGGAAGGGUACGUAGCAGGGGAACAUUUUAGGAAGCAGACGGGAGUAGGAAGAGAGGAAGACAGGGUGGAAAAAUAGAAAUGAGGACCAGAUCUAAGCAACACCAGAGGGGAAUUCAGGCCAGGAAACCUGAAAACAAAACUCAUGCUAGUAUUUUUCAGAUACAUUUUGUAUAAUUCUAGUAUAAUGAAGGCAAUCUUUGAAACUGAGUUUUCUGUAUAUUGAUUUCUAACAGCUGACAUGAGCUUAAAAUAUCUUUUUAUGUAGGAGCAGUUCAACUUCCCCCCAAUAUGUUCUGUGCUUUCCUUCCUUCUAUCUCCCUGGGACUAAAAUCAGCUUCUUGAGGACAGUCCACCUCUUCCUCCUGCUGCCUUGUCUCCCACGCCCCCAGAGAGAGCCCUCUCUAACGUCACCUCUGAUGUCACUAGCAGAGGGCUAAGGCUGUAAAUAAAAGGCACGAGGUAACAGAAUUAGAAUGGGAACAAGUGAACUACCAAGAAACCAGGAGACUAUUUUCAAGGCAAUGCUUGUCUCCUUAGAGAUGAAAAAUGAGGAGGAGUCAGAUGAAGGAAAUCUGAGUGAUUAAAAAGUGAAUUGGUUUUCUAAUUUUUUUAAAAGGUUUUCAGGGAGAUUUCAGCAACUCUUUACAUUCUUAAUGAAGACACGGAAUUGAAGACGUGAAAUUGAAGAUUUAGUCUGGCUGUAAAAUUGUAUUUAGGUAUGCAUAUAAGAAAUGCAUACAGAAGAAUAUUCCUGUGGAAUUUUAUUCCUUGCAUUUGAUUACAAAAACAUUGGGGAAUGUGUUACUAUUAAUUGUGCAUAUAAAACAGGCCAUAAAUUUCCUUCUAAAAGCCUCUAAAAAACCCUAGGCGUGGCAGCAAUACUGCAACGGUGAGAAGGUUCAUUUUUACUCCUGUUAAUGCAAUAGGCCUCCACAGAGUCUGCUGCAGUAAAAGUCAAUUGAAAAGCCAAAAGAAUGGAACGGCUUAACUAUAUAUAUAAGACUGCAGUCACUUUGCAUUUUUCCUGAUGACAGAAAUAAUUAUAUCAUUUUCAAAAGCCUCAAAUAAGUUUGAGACUGGAACACCUACAAAUACAGGGUCUGUCCCAUGACCCCCGGUGUGAUGACACAAACCUUCUAACGUGGCCUUAGCAAACAACUAUCUUAAAAUGCAGUCAAUUUAAUGCGGUAAAUUGUCCAUCUGUUUUCUAGAUUGUUACCUGUCUCAGUUACUGUUAAUUUGGCUGUAUCACAUGUGUGUUCUCACUCUCAAAACACGUAGGAAAAUUAUAGAAUAGAAUCUAGUCAGAAGAAGGAACUGAACAUCAACAAUCUAUGAAAUAUGUAUAUAUUAUAUGUAUAUUUAAUAAGAAAUUUUAGAGGAUCUGCAUUAAUUAUACCUCCAUAUGUUGGUAUCUUUGUAUCAGCUGAACAGCAUAUUAUCAGUCAUACAUUACUAGUUAUGUAAUCAGCAUCUGGAGAGCAAACAACUCCGCAUCUAACUGCUAGGUAACAUUUACUUGGCAAUAAUCUGGAAUCACUCAAGACAUUAUAUUCUCUCACAUGCCUGUUACUGCCUUUUAGGUGAAGAAUAGUGCCUGUACAUUUGAACCUUGUAAGGUAAAACAUAUGAAUGCUCUUCACAUUCUUCAGUGUGAAGCCAGCUUGUUCAUUUAAGCACAUGAUGAAGGUGUUUUGAAGCAACUUAGCUGAUACAUAAUUGUCCGUACUUGGAAUGUAAAGUGGUAUUUUUGAGUUUCUGGCAAGAGGGAGAUUACUUAAUGUAAAAACUUGCAUUUUAAAAUGCUGUUAUAAACUAGGUUAUCAUUCUUGAUUUUAUAUCCCAAACUUUAGAACAGACCAUAUGGAAGAAAGAUUUACAUUUUUAACAUCACAUUAGUAGAGCAAGAGCUGUAGGAAAAGGGCCAGUGACAGGGAAACACAUCUUUAAAAAUAAUUACUUGUAGUAGCACUUAGAGCCUCCUAUGAGGUCUUCAUUUUGCUACAAGCUGUGACUUAAAAGCAGUUCUUUGAAGAGCAUAAUUUUGUUUUGUGAGAAGACAACAGGUAAAUCAGACAUGGUGGAAGGGAGCAAGUGAUACAGCCCCGAUUAGCUUAAUAAGCAGCAGAAUUGCCUGCAGCUGCUUCGCUGCACUUGCCUGAAUUGCAGCUUAGCAGCAAGUACUUCAGUUUUAGAAGGAAGAACACUACAAACAAGACUACUUUUUCAGCCAGACUUUUCCUGCUGACAAAAUGGUGGAACACAAGUAGUGCUCUCGGUUAAGGCCAUCUCAGCUUUGUAGAAGCAGCGCUCCCCACCCCAGCCUUAUUUAUGCAGUCUAGCCAACGCCAUGUGUUUUCUACUUGCAAACCCAAUUUCAGUGCUUCUCAGCACCUCACCUAUAUCCCCUAACAACAGAGGAAAGGUAUACUUCAAUUUUUAAUAAGCAGCAGCAACCUGAAAUUGGUGCAAGCUGCUUAGCUCUAGAUAAAGCAACAGCAGUUAAACCACAGUUAAACCCCUAAAGAGAGAAUGACUGAGAAUUGGGAGUGCAUCCAAAAACCUGCAGCAUUUAAUUGUCUCUCGUGAUAUAUACUGUAAGCAAGGUAUGACUACAGUCACACGCAACCUAAGAAAUGUUCAUCUCGAUUCCUCACUCUCUUUUUUCUUUGAAAACAAAGACAAUCCUGCUGUUCAAUUCCCCAUGCUGGAGACUUGGCUGCCUGCAGUGCCUUGCAGUAAAAUUGGAGGAGAGCUGAAGAUGGCUUUUGACUGAAGUCAUCAUAUUUCCACAUGGUAACUUUAGAAACAGGUGAAGAAACUUCAUAGAAUUGUUUGAGUUGGAAGGGACCCUUAAAGGCUGUUUGGUCCAACUCCCCUGC
Long non-coding RNA from Numida meleagris (helmeted guineafowl), 3913 nucleotides. RefSeq lists it as uncharacterized. The transcript has 4 exons. The record is from RefSeq and is a predicted model, not a curated record. NCBI's taxonomy places the organism in Eukaryota, Metazoa, Chordata, Aves, Galliformes, Numididae.